Molecule: ribosomal RNA, 481 nt
Filed under: uncultured bacterium
Lineage: Bacteria
Description: partial 16S ribosomal RNA
Rfam family: Bacterial small subunit ribosomal RNA
Source: RNAcentral
GACGAACGCUGGCGGCGUGCUUAACACAUGCAAGUCGAGCGGAAAGGCCACUUCGGUGGUACUCGAGCGGCGAACGGGUGAGUAACACGUGAGUAAUCUGCCCCUGGCUUUGGGAUAGCCACCGGAAACGGUGAUUAAUACCGGAUACGACCACUCCUCGCAUGGGAUGGUGGUGGAAAGUUUUUUCGGCCAGGGAUGUGCUCGCGGCCUAUCAGCUUGAUGGUGAGGUAAUGGCUCACCAUGGCUUCGACGGGUAGCCGGCCUGAGAGGGUGACCGGUCCCACUGGGCCGGAGACCCGGCCCGGAGUCCUACGGGAGGCAGCAGUGGGGAAGAUUGGACAAGGGGCGGAAGCCUGAUACAGCACCGCCGCGUGAGGGAUGACGGCCUUAGGGUUGUAAACCUCUUUCAUCAUGGACGAAGCGAAAGGGACGGUACCUGCAGAAGAAGCACCGGCCAACUACGUGCCAGCAGCCGCGGUAA